CACAGUAUAAGAUCCUAAUGUUGAGUUUAAGGAGAUUAAAUCCCACAAUAAAAAAUAUAAAAUUAAAAUAGUAAUAAAAAGAGUGAAAGGUAAGGGUGGAAGUACCGCAGUAUUUGAAGGUAACCUUAGCUUGAGCGAGAAAAGAAGAGAGGAAGAGGAUUGAGAAGGAUAGAAUAAGGUAGAGGUUGGGAAGAGAGUGAAAUGCCAUCGAUUGCACGAAGAUGAAGAAGAAGAAGAAGAACAACGGAGAGAGUUUAUGCUAACUGUUCUUACUAAACUCCAACACCAAACAUACACAUAGUCAAAUAAGAAUAUUAAUAAUUAUUUCAAAGUUAAACAAUGUGAGGAUGGGAGAAUAAGACUAGUCUCAGUCUCUUAUUAUUAAUUUGAGUAUUUAAUAAGUAAUUAAUCUCUAGGCAUUGUUCUGAAUUAAAAAUUUGACAUUUUGAUACUAUAAAUUGUUCUCAUAAAUUGCCAUUUUUGUUUAACUCUUUCCCAAUAGGCUACAACAAGUUCUAAUAAUUAUUUGGUUCAGGUUGGUUUCCCUCCACGUGUAAAACCAUUGCCUAUAUGAAGCAUAAUAAUAAAUCUAGACAAAAAAUCAAAUGAAAUUAUCUGACAUAAAUUACCAUUAUUAAUCCAUUUUCUACAAAAAGAAAGUAGGUUGAGGUAAUAAGUAACUUCUACUUCUUAAGUCAAGGAGACUUUUGGUUGUUUAGAUGUUAUGAUCAUCUUAAGGUAGAUUCACAACAAUUCCAAGAAAAACCUAUAAUUGCAAUAAGAAAAGUUCAAAUCCUAAAAUAAAAUACUAUAUAACAUUGUGCUCUCUGAUUGUUUCACUAUUUUUUAAAAAGAAUUAACCAUGUGAUGACUAUUGAAGAGAUGUUAAUAUCAUAAUUGUGGUAAUUUUGAUAAGAAUCUUCAUUUUUUUAAUAUGUUAAGACUACCUAUUAUAAAUAUAUAUAAUCACAUAUUACAAUUAUCAUUUCAUAACAAUCAUAAGGUCACAGAUCUAUCAAUUGUUUGAUAAUUUUCAAAGUAAACAUAAUCUUUAGUUUGUAAUUGGGCCUCUAAACCUAAAAAUUGUUCAUAAUUGAGUCAUUGUAUAAGGGUUCAAUAUUAGGGUAAGAUUUCAAAUGUUGAACUUUACACAUUAAUGUUGACCUAUAAUUUCUCAUCCAAGUACUUUUUUUCCAAAAACCUUCUGAAAUCCCAAGGGAAGUCACAUUUGAUGACCUUUCAAUUUACAUCUUAAAGAUUAAUUUUUCAAGUGUCAACCUUUUCUUAUUCAGUUUAUACAAUCAUAUACAAAUUAUAAUUCUAAUCUGAAUUCAUAAAAAGGUUUUCUGUCAUUGACACAACAUAUGUUUAUGUCAUUGAUAUGACUGUUCAUGUUCAUUUUUAUUCCAAAGAUUACUUUUGAAAGAUGACACACAACAUACUUUACAAUAACACAGUCAUACAACGAAGCAAAGUAGGCACCAGAUGAAGAUCAACCGUGGAAAUGACACUUCAGAUAUCAGACACUAAUGAUCCAAAAACAAUUUUGAAAUUAAACUUGAUGCAAGUUAACAACUCGCCAUUGUCAUCCUUCAGCGUCAUCUUCAAAGCAUAGGGUCCCUGCAAAAAACAAAUAUUAAGAUGGAAUCAAGGAUAUGUACUUAACCAAAACAAAAAUUGUUCUCAGAUACAAGAAUGAUUGAAACAAGAAAACACAGUUCAGGAAAAUUUUAUAUCAUGACUAUAAGCCCAAAGGCUUCUGUAUGACAUGUGGCGGCAAUAAGCAUAUAUUGCAGGAUUUUUCUUAGAUAUCAGAGUUUAAAUGCCUCUUGAUAAUCAACUGUAAGAAUUAUCAAACCAAUUGUAAAUGGCUAAUAAAAUGGCUAGAGAUUAACACUUCUAGCUUAGCUUCAUGAAAUUCCAUAACAGGAUUCCGAACCAUAAAAAGAACGGUAGAUGGAAGCAUGAAUACCUGAUAAUAACUUAAAAAGGUAAUUCAAGUAUAAUCAAGUGUAAAUGUAUCACAAAAAAGGGGUGUUCAAGAAUUUAAUAUUGAUUUAACGUCUAAGAAGAAAAUUGUAAAACAAGGUUGAAGAGGUAGGGUCUACUACAUAGAUCAAUCUACAGCAUAUAUCAAGUAAAAAUGACAUGAAACUGAAUCAACAACAUUAACCAACCCUUACUCGGCAUUAAUCAAUGCAACUGGAUUUAAAAAACAAUUCUUUUAGUAAAACCGUUCAAAAGAAAAGGUCAUUUAUACUGGUUUCUCCUAAGAUUUAAUAGGUCUUCCCUUACCACUCUUAAUAGAACUAUUUUAAGCUUUUAAGUUUAGGAGAGUUGUUUUGUUCAUGACAUGAUGUCAGAGCCUCAGUGACCAUGAGUUCAAUCCUUAUGGCCUCCAUUAUUCCAAUAAAAAAGUUGAAUUUCAACAUGUGGUAAAAUGAGAUUGUGCAUUAUCUACACUGCAUUAUCUACCGGAUGCAUCUUGCCACCAAGAUUUGGUAAUUAGCAUCAGGAAAACUCAGCACCACAGUAAAGUGUGCAGCAAAGGCAAACAACUUAGUGAAAAAGAAAGGGGGUUACAGAUGAUAUGAUUGGUCGACUCAAAGCCCACCCCCAAGAAGGGUGGGGUGUAAAGAAGGUUUAUUUCAUGAUAGGAUAUAUUUAGAAUGUCUUUAGCAUUGCUAAGAGUCUGUACUUGACAAGAGAAACUAACCGGUGGAGUAAUUGAAGGCAAUGUUUGGGAGUGAGAAAUCACAAAAUUGCCAUUAGAAACGGGACAGGUUACUUCCUGACAUAGAUCAAUUCUUUCAGUGUGGACAGGCACCCCAAUGUAUGAAACUCCGAUUACCACCUCCCCACCAGAAAUAGCUUUUCCUGCAUAUAAGAUAGACAUAAACUCCAUUUAUAAUUUGUUAAAGCAAAUAAGUGAAACACUAAAUGAUGAAGCAAUAAGGAACAAAUACAGUACUAGGAUCAAUGUAUAUGAGAACCAAAAUAUUGUGAAUAGAUGGAUUAUUAUGUUCAUAAAGUUCAUUAGUACAAAAAAUAAAUAAAAAAAACAACAAUCAAAUGUAAGGUGGUCAACUAAAACAAUGUAAUUAUGCAUGUACAGUAAUCAUUAGUCACCACAUCAGACUACUAUCAUGCAUUUAAAAUAAGAGAAUAUAAGUUAUCUCCUUCUAGUGAAAGCAGGACAUAUGUCCUAUUUCAUCAUUUUCUAUAAAAAUAUUUCUAAAACAAAACAAAAUAAUACACAUGUCAUACUUGUAUUGACCAGAUGAGAUAAGUUAUUUCAUUGUAUGAGGAGUUUAUUGUCUUAAAAUAAAGGGUGAAAAAUGAAAAAUAAAUAGAAAAAGUAGAUUAAAAAAUGGAGAGAUUACCCGAAGAAGCUGAGAUCUUGAAGUUAGCCGGGUUACCACUGACAACAGGAUUUGGUGAUAUUUCAAUUCCAGACACUUUCACAUCAUAAUUUCCCUUCUUAUCUGCAUAUACAUUUUUUUAGCAAACAAAUAAAUAGACAAAAAAUUACCAAAAUCUAAAUCAAAUCUGAACAAACAUGACCCCAGCUUCCAGCACUGAAGCACACACAUGACACCACAAAAUCACACAAAAAUUAAACUCAACUUAAUAGAAAUCCACUACAUAAGAGUCAAAUCAACUACAUAAGAGUCAAAUCCACUAAAAUCCCUCAGAAUUGAAGAACUAUGCAAUUUCAUAAAAAUGAAAUUAAAGAAACACAGUAUAAGAUCCUAAUGUUGAGUUUAAGGAGAUUAAAUCCCACAAUAAAAAAUAUAAAAUUAAAAUAGUAAUAAAAAGAGUGAAAGGUAAGGGUGGAAGUACCGCAGUAUUUGAAGGUAACCUUAGCUUGAGCGAGAAAAGAAGAGAGGAAGAGGAUUGAGAAGGAUAGAAUAAGGUAGAGGUUGGGAAGAGAGUGAAAUGCCAUCGAUUGCACGAAGAUGAAGAAGAAGAAGAAGAACAACGGAGAGAG
Molecule: long non-coding RNA, 3991 nt
Filed under: Lupinus angustifolius (narrow-leaved blue lupine)
Lineage: Eukaryota; Viridiplantae; Streptophyta; Magnoliopsida; Fabales; Fabaceae
Description: long non-coding RNA (LANG_LNC001453)
Source: RNAcentral